This 72-nucleotide transfer RNA is filed under the name Deltaproteobacteria bacterium. Its description in RNAcentral is "tRNA-Asn". It matches the Rfam family "tRNA". From Rfam's summary of the family: Transfer RNA (tRNA) molecules are approximately 80 nucleotides in length. Lineage: Bacteria; Pseudomonadati; Myxococcota; Myxococcia. RNAcentral also lists the same sequence under 1 other name. The record is from RNAcentral.
UCCGGAGUAGCUCAGGGGUAGAGCAGGCGGCUGUUAACCGCCGGGUCGGGGGUUCGAAGCCCUCCUCCGGAG